Molecule: ribosomal RNA, 465 nt
Filed under: uncultured bacterium
Lineage: Bacteria
Description: partial 16S ribosomal RNA
Rfam family: Bacterial small subunit ribosomal RNA
Source: RNAcentral
GACGAACGCUGGCGGCGUGCUUAACACAUGCAAGUCGAACGGAAAGGCCCCUUUGGUGGUACUCGAGUGGCGAACGGGUGCGUAACACGUGAGUAACCUGCCCUUGACUUCGGGAUAACUUCAGGAAACUGGGGCUAAUACCGGAUAGGAAUCCUUGCUGCAUGGUGGGGGUUGGAAAGCUUCGGCGGUUUUUGAUGGACUCGCGGCUUAUCAGCUUGUUGGUGGGGUAGUGGCUUACCAAGGCUUUGACGGGAAGCCGGCCUGAGUGGGCGACCGGCCACACUGGGACUGAGAUACGGCCCAGACUCCUAAGGGAGGCAGAAGUGGGGAAUAUUGCACAAUGGGCGGAAGCCUGAUGCAGCAACGCCGCGUGCGGGAUGACGGCCUUCGGGUUGUAAAACGAUUUCAGCAGGGGCGAAGCUUGUGGUGACGGUACCUGCAGAAGAAGCACCGGCUAACUACGUG